CUUAACACAUGCAAGUCGAACGGAAAGGCCCUGCUUUUGUGGGGUGCUCGAGUGGCGAACGGGUGAGUAACACGUGAGUAACCUGCCCUUGACUUUGGGAUAACUUCAGGAAACUGGGGCUAAUACCGGAUAGGAGCUCCUGCUGCAUGGUGGGGGUUGGAAAGUUUCGGCGGUUGGGGAUGGACUCGCGGCUUAUCAGCUUGUUGGUGGGGUAGUGGCUUACCAAGGCUUUGACGGGUAGCCGGCCUGAGAGGGUGACCGGCCACAUUGGGACUGAGAUACGGCCCAGACUCCUACGGGAGGCAGCAGUGGGGAAUAUUGCACAAUGGGCGGAAGCCUGAUGCAGCAACGCCGCGUGCGGGAUGACGGCCUUCGGGUUGUAAACCGCUUUCGCCUGUGACGAAGCGUGAGUGACGGUAAUGGGUAAAGAAGCACCGGCUAACUACGUGCCAGCAGCCGCGGUGAUACGUAGGGUGCGAGCGUUGUCCGGAUUUAUUGGGCGUAAAGGGCUCGUAGGUGGUUGAUCGCGUCGGAAGUGUAAUCUUGGGGCUUAACCCUGAGCGUGCUUUCGAUACGGGUUGACUUGAGGAAGGUAGGGGAGAAUGGAAUUCCUGGUGGAGCGGUGGAAUGCGCAGAUAUCAGGAGGAACACCAGUGGCGAAGGCGGUUCUCUGGGCCUUUCCUGACGCUGAGGAGCGAAAGCGUGGGGAGCGAACAGGCUUAGAUACCCUGGUAGUCCACGCUGUAAACGGUGGGUACUAGGUGUGGGGUCCAUUCCACGGGUUCCGUGCCGUAGCUAACGCUUUAAGUACCCCGCCUGGGGAGUACGGCCGCAAGGCUAAAACUCAAAGGAAUUGACGGGGCCCCGCACAAGCGGCGGAGCAUGCGGAUUAAUUCGAUGCAACGCGUAGAACCUUACCUGGGUUUGACAUGGAUCGGGAGUGCUCAGAGAUGGGUGUGCCUCUUUUGGGGUCGGUUCACAGGUGGUGCAUGGCUGUCGUCAGCUCGUGUCGUGAGAUGUUGGGUUAAGUCCCGCAACGAGCGCAACCCUUGUUCACUGUUGCCAGCACGUUAUGGUGGGGACUCAGUGGAGACCGCCGGGGUCAACUCGGAGGAAGGUGGGGAUGACGUCAAGUCAUCAUGCCCCUUAUGUCCAGGGCUUCACGCAUGCUACAAUGGCUGGUACAGAGAGUGGCGAGCCUGUGAGGGUGAGCGAAUCUCGGAAAGCCGGUCUCAGUUCGGAUUGGGGUCUGCAACUCGACCUCGUGAAGUCGGAGUCGCUAGUAAUCGCAGAUCAGCAACGCUGCGGUGAAUACGUUCCCGGGGCUUGUACACACCGCCCGUCAAGUCAUGAAAGUUGGUAACACCCGAAGCCGGUGGCCUAACCGUUGUGGGGGAGCCGUCGAAGGUGGGACUGGUGAUUAGGACUAAGUC
RNAcentral lists this ribosomal RNA (1433 nucleotides) under uncultured organism. RNAcentral describes it as "16S ribosomal RNA". It matches the Rfam family "Bacterial small subunit ribosomal RNA". The record is from RNAcentral.